UACAUGGGGUGCAAACGUUGCUCGGAAUUAUUGGGCGUAAAGCGCACGUAGGUGGUCUGUUAUGUCAGAUGUGAAAGCCCUCGGCUUAACUGAGGAAGUGCACCUGAAACUGGCAGGCUUGAGUACGAAAGAGGGUCGCGGAAUUCCCGGUGUAGAGGUGAAAUUCGUAGAUAUUCGCAAGAACACCAGUGGCGAAGGCGGCUCACUGGCCCGAUACUGACGCUGAGGUGCGAAAGCGUGGGGAGCAAACAGG
Molecule: ribosomal RNA, 253 nt
Filed under: uncultured bacterium
Lineage: Bacteria
Description: partial 16S ribosomal RNA
Rfam family: Bacterial small subunit ribosomal RNA
Source: RNAcentral